RNAcentral lists this unclassified non-coding RNA (334 nucleotides) under soil metagenome. RNAcentral describes it as "partial contains 5.8S ribosomal RNA, internal transcribed spacer 2, and large subunit ribosomal RNA". The stretch from base 1 to 120 matches the Rfam family "5.8S ribosomal RNA", at positions 35 to 154 of the family's 154-position model. The record is from RNAcentral.
GAUGAAGAACGUAGCGAAAUGCGAUACGUAAUGUGAAUUGCAGAAUUCAGUGAAUCAUCGAAUCUUUGAACGCACAUUGCGCCUGCCAGCACUCUGGCAGGCAUGCCUGUUCGAGCGUCAUUUCAACCAUCAAGUCCUAGGCUUGCGUUGGAGCCCUGCGGCUGCCGCAGGCCCCUAAAAGCAGUGGCGGGCUCGCUAUCACACCGAGUGCAGUAGAUUACUCUUCGCUCAGGGCGUGUGGCGGGUUCCAGCCGUGAAACCCCCUACUUCUCAAGGUUGACCUCGGAUCAGGUAGGAAUACCCGCUGAACUUAAGCAUAUCAAUAAGCGGAGGA